GGGUUGUGAGGUUAAGCGACUAAGCGUACACGGUGGAUGCCUAGGCAAUCAGAGGCGAUGAAGGACGUGCUAAUCUGCGAUAAGCGUCGGUAAGGUGAUAUGAACCGUUACAACCGACGAUUUCCGAAUGGGGAAACCCAGUGCAAUUCGUUGCACUAUCGUUUGAUGAAUACAUAGUCAAACGAAGCGAACCGGGGGAACUGAAACAUCUCAGUACCCCGAGGAAAAGAAAUCAACCGAGAUUCCCCUAGUAGCGGCGAGCGAACGGGGAGCAGCCCAGAGUCUUAAUCAGCAUUAGCAUCAGGAGAACGGUCUGGAAAGUCCGGCAGUAAAGGGUGAUAGCCCCGUAUCCGAAGGUGUUAGUGUUGUGAACUCGACGAGUAGGGCGGGACACGUGUUAUCCUGUCUGAAUAUGGGGGGACCAUCCUCCAAGGCUAAAUACUCCUGAUUGACCGAUAGUGAACCAGUACCGUGAGGGAAAGGCGAAAAGAACCCCGGCGAGGGGAGUGAAAUAGAACCUGAAACCGUGUACGUACAAGCAGUGGGAGCCUUGAUUUAUCAGGGUGACUGCGUACCUUUUGUAUAAUGGGUCAGCGACUUAUAUUCUGUAGCAAGGUUAACCGUAUAGGGGAGCCGUAGGGAAACCGAGUCUUAACUGGGCGAAUAAGUUGCAGGGUAUAGACCCGAAACCCGGUGAUCUAGCCAUGGGCAGGUUGAAGGUUGGGUAACACUAACUGGAGGACCGAACCGACUAAUGUUGAAAAAUUAGCGGAUGACUUGUGGCUGGGGGUGAAAGGCCAAUCAAACCGGGAGAUAGCUGGUUCUCCCCGAAAGCUAUUUAGGUAGCGCCUCGUGAACUCAUCUUCGGGGGUAGAGCACUGUUUCGACUAGGGGGUCAUCCCGACUUACCAACUCGAUGCAAACUACGAAUACCGAAGAAUGUUAUCACGGGAGACACACGGCGGGUGCUAACGUUCGUCGUGAAGAGGGAAACAACCCAGACCGCCAGCUAAGGUCCCAAAGUCAUAGUUAAGUGGGAAACGAAGUGGGAAGGCUCAGACAGCCAGGAUGUUGGCUUAGAAGCAGCCAUCAUUUAAAGAAAGCGUAAUAGCUCACUGGUCGAGUCGGCCUGCGCGGAAGAUGUAACGGGGCUAAACUAUGCACCGAAGCUGCGGCAGCGAACGUAUCACUUAAACUGAUUAAGUGAUACUCAGAUGUAUCAAAACGAUUGACGGAGCGAAGCGACGUCAAUGCGUCCAACAAAGUCGAGGCGGAAACGUCAGGCAGUCAGUUUAAGGAUACGUUCGUUGGGUAGGGGAGCGUUCUGUAAGCCUGUGAAGGUGUACUGUGAGGUAUGCUGGAGGUAUCAGAAGUGCGAAUGCUGACAUAAGUAACGAUAAUGCGGGUGAAAAACCCGCACGCCGGAAGACCAAGGGUUCCUGUCCAACGUUAAUCGGGGCAGGGUGAGUCGACCCCUAAGGCGAGGCAGAAAUGCGUAGUCGAUGGGAAACGGGUUAAUAUUCCCGUACUGGUGAUAAUUGCGAUGGGGGGACGGAGAAGGCUAGGCUAUCCGGGCGACGGUUGUCCCGGUUUAAGAAUGUAGGCAGGUGAAUUAGGCAAAUCCGGUUCACUACAUGCUGAGGUUCGAUGACGAGUCACUACGGUGAUGAAGUAGCUCAUGCCCCGCUUCCAGGAAAAGCCUCUAAGCUCUAGAUUAUCAUUAAUCGUACCCCAAACCGACACAGGUGGUCAGGUAGAGAAUACUCAGGCGCUUGAGAGAACUCGGGUGAAGGAACUAGGCAAAAUGGUGCCGUAACUUCGGGAGAAGGCACGCUGGCGCUAGGUGAAGUCCCUCGCGGAUGGAGCUGAAGCCAGUCGCAGAUACCAGCUGGCUGCAACUGUUUAUUAAAAACACAGCACUGUGCAAACACGAAAGUGGACGUAUACGGUGUGACGCCUGCCCGGUGCUGGAAGGUUAAUUGAUGGGGUUAUCCGUAAGGAGAAGCUCUUGAUCGAAGCCCCAGUAAACGGCGGCCGUAACUAUAACGGUCCUAAGGUAGCGAAAUUCCUUGUCGGGUAAGUUCCGACCUGCACGAAUGGCGUAAUGAUGGCCAGGCUGUCUCCACCCGAGACUCAGUGAAAUUGAACUCGCUGUGAAGAUGCAGUGUACCCGCGGCAAGACGGAAAGACCCCGUGAACCUUUACUAUAGCUUGACACUGAACAUUGAGCCUUGAUGUGUAGGAUAGGUGGGAGGCUUCGAAGCGUGGACGCCAGUCUGCGUGGAGCCAACCUUGAAAUACCACCCUUUAAUGUUUGAUGUUCUAACGUUGCCCCAUUAUCUGGGGUGCGGACAGUGUCUGGUGGGUAGUUUGACUGGGGCGGUCUCCUCCCAAAGAGUAACGGAGGAGCACGAAGGUUGGCUAAGCAUGGUCGGACAUCAUGCGGUUAGUGCAAAGGCAUAAGCCAGCUUGACUGCGAGAGUGACGGCUCGAGCAGGUACGAAAGUAGGUCUUAGUGAUCCGGUGGUUCUGAAUGGAAGGGCCAUCGCUCAACGGAUAAAAGGUACUCCGGGGAUAACAGGCUGAUACCGCCCAAGAGUUCAUAUCGACGGCGGUGUUUGGCACCUCGAUGUCGGCUCAUCACAUCCUGGGGCUGAAGUAGGUCCCAAGGGUACGGCUGUUCGCCGUUUAAAGUGGUACGCGAGCUGGGUUUAGAACGUCGUGAGACAGUUCGGUCCCUAUCUGCCGUGGGCGUUGGAAGAUUGAAAGGGGCUGCUCCUAGUACGAGAGGACCGGAGUGGACGCACCACUGGUGUUCGGGUUGUCAUGCCAAUGGCAUUGCCCGGUAGCUAAGUGCGGAAGAGAUAACCGCUGAAAGCAUCUAAGCGGGAAACUUGCCUUGAGAUGAGUCUUCCCUGACCCUUUAAGGGUCCUAAAGGAACGUUUAAGACUAAGACGUUGAUAGGUUGGGUGUGUAAGCAUAGCGAUAUGUUGAGCUAACCAAUACUAAUGAACCGUGAGGCUUAACCUGACAACACCGAAGGUGUUUUAG
Molecule: ribosomal RNA, 3052 nt
Filed under: Providencia huaxiensis
Lineage: Bacteria; Pseudomonadati; Pseudomonadota; Gammaproteobacteria; Enterobacterales; Morganellaceae
Description: bacterial LSU rRNA
Rfam family: Bacterial large subunit ribosomal RNA
Source: RNAcentral